This 264-nucleotide ribosomal RNA is filed under the name uncultured bacterium. RNAcentral describes it as "partial 16S ribosomal RNA". It matches the Rfam family "Bacterial small subunit ribosomal RNA", at positions 333 to 594 of the family's 1533-position model. The record is from RNAcentral.
CGUGUCCUAUGGGGCGCAGCAGUGAGGAAUAUUGGUCAAUGGCCGGAAGGCUGAACCAGCCAAGCCGCGUGAGGGAGGAAGGCGCAGAGCGUCGCAGACCCCUUUUGCCGGGGGACAAAAGGCCGGACUCGUCCGGUCCUGAGGGUACCCGGAGAAAAAGCAUCGGCUAACUCCGUGCCAGCAGCCGCGGUAAUACGGAGGAUGCGAGCGUUAUCCGGAUUCAUUGGGUUUAAAGGGUGCGCAGGCGGGCCUUUAAGCCGGCGG